RNAcentral lists this ribosomal RNA (456 nucleotides) under uncultured bacterium. RNAcentral's name for it is "bacterial SSU rRNA". It matches the Rfam family "Bacterial small subunit ribosomal RNA", at positions 340 to 786 of the family's 1533-position model. The record is from RNAcentral.
UACGGAAGGCAGCAGUGGGGAAUAUUGCACAAUGGGCGAAAGCCUGAUGCAGCUAUGCCGCGUGUAUGAAGAAGGCCUUAGGGUUGUAAAGUACUUUCAUCGGGGAGGAAAAACAAAACUAAUAAUUUUAUUUCUUGACGUUACCCGAAAAAGAAGCACCGGCUAACUCCGUGCCAGCAGCCGCGGUAAUACGGAGGGUGCUAGCGUUAAUCAGAAUUACUGGGCGUAAAGAGCACGUAGGUGGUUUUUUUAAGUCAGAUGUGAAAUCCCUGGGCUUAACCUAGGAACUGCAUUUUGAAACUGAAAUACUAGAGUAUCGUAGAGGGAGGUAGAAUUCUAGGUGUAGCGGUGAAAUGCGUAGAUAUCUGGAGGAAUACCUGUGGCGAAAGCGGCCUCCUAAACGAAUACUGACACUGAGAUGCGAAAGCGUGGGGAGCGAAACAGGGAUUAGAUACC